GACGAACGCUGGCGGCGUGCUUAACACAUGCAAGUCGAACGGAAAGGCCCUUCGGGGUACUCGAGUGGCGAACGGGUGAGUAACACGUGGGUGAUCUGCCCUGCACUUUGGGAUAAGCCUGGGAAACUGGGUCUAAUACCGAAUAGGACCGCAUGCUUCAUGGUGUGUGGUGGAAAGCUUUUGCGGUGUGGGAUGGGCCCGCGGCCUAUCAGCUUGUUGGUGGGGUAAUGGCCUACCAAGGCGACGACGGGUAGCCGGCCUGAGAGGGUGUCCGGCCACACUGGGACUGAGAUACGGCCCAGACUCCUACGGGAGGCAGCAGUGGGGAAUAUUGCACAAUGGGCGCAAGCCUGAUGCAGCGACGCCGCGUGAGGGAUGACGGCCUUCGGGUUGUAAACCUCUUUCAGCAGGGACGAAGCGCAAGUGACGGUACCUGUAGAAGAAGCACCGGCCAACUACGUGCCAGCAGCCGCGGUAAUACGUAGGGUGCGAGCGUUGUCCGGAAUUACUGGGCGUAAAGAGCUCGUAGGUGGUUUGUCGCGUUGUUCGUGAAAACUCACAGCUCAACUGUGGGCGUGCGGGCGAUACGGGCAGACUUGAGUACUGCAGGGGAGACUGGAAUUCCUGGUGUAGCGGUGGAAUGCGCAGAUAUCAGGAGGAACACCGGUGGCGAAGGCGGGUCUCUGGGCAGUAACUGACGCUGAGGAGCGAAAGCGUGGGGAGCGAACAGGAUUAGAUACCCUGGUAGUCCACGCCGUAAACGGUGGGUACUAGGUGUGGGUUUCCUUCCUUGGGAUCCGUGCCGUAGCUAACGCAUUAAGUACCCCGCCUGGGGAGUACGGCCGCAAGGCUAAAACUCAAAGAAAUUGACGGGGGCCCGCACAAGCGGCGGAGCAUGUGGAUUAAUUCGAUGCAACGCGAAGAACCUUACCUGGGUUUGACAUGCACAGGACGCCGGCAGAGAUGUCGGUUCCCUUGUGGCCUGUGUGCAGGUGGUGCAUGGCUGUCGUCAGCUCGUGUCGUGAGAUGUUGGGUUAAGUCCCGCAACGAGCGCAACCCUUGUCUCAUGUUGCCAGCACGUAAUGGUGGGGACUCGUGAGAGACUGCCGGGGUCAACUCGGAGGAAGGUGGGGAUGACGUCAAGUCAUCAUGCCCCUUAUGUCCAGGGCUUCACACAUGCUACAAUGGCCGGUACAAAGGGCUGCGAUGCCGUGAGGUGGAGCGAAUCCUUUCAAAGCCGGUCUCAGUUCGGAUCGGGGUCUGCAACUCGACCCCGUGAAGUCGGAGUCGCUAGUAAUCGCAGAUCAGCAACGCUGCGGUGAAUACGUUCCCGGGCCUUGUACACACCGCCCGUCACGUCAUGAAAGUCGGUAACACCCGAAGCCGGUGGCCUAACCC
RNAcentral lists this ribosomal RNA (1398 nucleotides) under Mycobacterium sp. CP-2. Its description in RNAcentral is "16S ribosomal RNA". It matches the Rfam family "Bacterial small subunit ribosomal RNA". The record is from RNAcentral. Lineage: Bacteria; Bacillati; Actinomycetota; Actinomycetes; Mycobacteriales; Mycobacteriaceae.